Molecule: ribosomal RNA, 254 nt
Filed under: uncultured bacterium
Lineage: Bacteria
Description: partial 16S ribosomal RNA
Rfam family: Bacterial small subunit ribosomal RNA
Source: RNAcentral
CACGUAGGGGGCAAGCGUUGUCCGGAUUCAUUGGGCGUAAAGAGCUCGUAGGCGGUUCGAUAAGUCGGGUGUGAAACCUCCAGGCUCAACCUGGAGACGCCACCCGAUACUGUCGUGACUAGAGUCCAGUAGGGGAGCGUGGAAUUCCUGGUGUAGCGGUGAAAUGCGCAGAUAUCAGGAGGAACACCAGCGGCGAAGGCGGCGCUCUGGGCUGGAACUGACGCUGAGGAGCGAAAUCGUGGGGAGCGAACAGG